UGGGAAUAUAGCUCAGCCAGGAGAGCACAUGACUGUUAAUCAUGUUGUCGAAGGUUCAAGUCCUUCUGUUCCCGU
Molecule: transfer RNA, 75 nt
Filed under: Blautia hydrogenotrophica
Lineage: Bacteria; Bacillati; Bacillota; Clostridia; Lachnospirales; Lachnospiraceae
Also listed under: 2 other names
Description: tRNA-Asn(gtt)
Rfam family: tRNA
About the family: Transfer RNA (tRNA) molecules are approximately 80 nucleotides in length. Their secondary structure includes four short double-helical elements and three loops (D, anti-codon, and T loops). Further hydrogen bonds mediate the characteristic L-shaped molecular structure. tRNAs have two regions of fundamental functional importance: the anti-codon, which is responsible for specific mRNA codon recognition, and the 3' end, to which the tRNAs corresponding amino acid is attached (by aminoacyl-tRNA synthetases). tRNAs cope with the degeneracy of the genetic code in two manners: having more than one tRNA (with a specific anti-codon) for a particular amino acid; and 'wobble' base-pairing, i.e. permitting non-standard base-pairing at the 3rd anti-codon position.
Source: RNAcentral